UUUGAGGUUAUGAUUCGCUGGUGGAUAAC
Molecule: non-coding RNA, 29 nt
Filed under: Rattus norvegicus (Norway rat)
Lineage: Eukaryota; Metazoa; Chordata; Mammalia; Rodentia; Muridae
Source: RNAcentral